AUCCUCUUGUAGUUCAUAAGCGUGAUGAUUGGGUGUUCAUGUUGUUGUGUGAUAUGUGCCUCCCUUAAACCUUGUUACGACCUUGGCACGUUGCCCGUCUGACA
This is a small nucleolar RNA of Leopardus geoffroyi (Geoffroy's cat), 104 nucleotides long. RefSeq annotates it as small nucleolar RNA U13. The record is from RefSeq and is a predicted model, not a curated record. The transcript has a single exon. NCBI's taxonomy places the organism in Eukaryota, Metazoa, Chordata, Mammalia, Carnivora, Felidae.